UACGUAGGGUGCGAGCGUUGUCCGGAAUUAUUGGGCGUAAAGAGCUCGUAGGCGGCUUGGCAAGUCGGGUGUGAAAACUCCAGGCUCAACCUGGAGACGCCACCCGAUACUGCCAUGGCUAGAGUCCGGUAGGGGACCACGGAAUUCCUGGUGUAGCGGUGAAAUGCGCAGAUAUCAGGAGGAACACCGGUGGCGAAGGCGGUGGUCUGGGCCGGAACUGACGCUGAGGAGCGAAAGCGUGGGGAGCGAACAGG
RNAcentral lists this ribosomal RNA (254 nucleotides) under uncultured bacterium. RNAcentral describes it as "partial 16S ribosomal RNA". It matches the Rfam family "Bacterial small subunit ribosomal RNA", at positions 524 to 776 of the family's 1533-position model. The record is from RNAcentral.